GCUCCCAUCGUCUAGUCAGGCCCAGGACGCCAGGUUUUCAUCCUGGUAACAGGGGUUCGAAUCCCCUUGGGAGUACCA
RNAcentral lists this transfer RNA (78 nucleotides) under Bacteroidota bacterium. Its description in RNAcentral is "Bacteroidetes bacterium (groundwater metagenome) tRNA-Glu". It matches the Rfam family "tRNA". Rfam says of the family: Transfer RNA (tRNA) molecules are approximately 80 nucleotides in length. The record is from RNAcentral. Lineage: Bacteria; Pseudomonadati; Bacteroidota. RNAcentral also lists the same sequence under 1 other name.